Molecule: long non-coding RNA, 1794 nt
Filed under: Mytilus galloprovincialis (Mediterranean mussel)
Lineage: Eukaryota; Metazoa; Mollusca; Bivalvia; Mytilida; Mytilidae
Source: RNAcentral
AUUGUAAUGAUUUGGUUACAUUGUAAUAAUUUGGUUACAUUGUUAAGUUUGAUUACAUUGUGAUAUACUUUUAAAUAAAAAUAAUUUGCAUUGCAUUGAGGUUUAUAUAUUGUUCAUCUAAACAUAGUCACCUCAUUAUUCAGACUUAUGACAAAUAUAAGCUGCAACAGCUGUGAAGAUUGGUUGUGUAUUUUCAUUAGAAUCAUUAUUAUUUUUAAAAUAUAAGGAGCAAUUUAUUAAUCUUAAGAUUUUAUUACGAAAUUCAAUCCAUAAUGAAAAUAAUGGUAUAUUAAUAGUUCAUAAUAUAGGGUUAUUGCAUGAAUAUUGGGGGAAAUUGUAGAAUUUUAUAUUGCACAAGCUUGCGAGUGCAAUAUAUGUUCUAUGAGGGACAAUAUUCCCCAAUAUUUAUGCAAUAACCCUUUUAUUGUAAAGCAAUAUAAUAUUUGAAAGUAAAAAUUGGAUUAAACUAAGAUUUUGUCGUUGAUGACGUCAUGAAUUUUGAAGAUUUAAUGCACUAGUGGCAAUUUGAAUUUAUUGCAGGCUAACUUUUGGUAACUUUCUGUGGGAAAUAUUAUAUUGCUAUGUAAUAAUAUGUUAUUUGGUACAGAAUUAUAGAGCCAAAUUCUGUUUUUGAAAGCAGUAUUGAAGCUUGAAGGUGUUGGUAUGUAAUUGGUAGGUCAUUUGACCAGUAUUAAAGCAUUAAGGUGUGGGUGGAAAGGUCACAUAACCAGUGUACUUAAUAUUAUCGUUUAUUUCUGAUUGAAUCUCACAAGUUGUGCAUACUCAAGAUAUAUUUUUCGGAUUUUUACAUUGAUAUUUUUGAUUCCAUGAAGCAUUAAUUUCAUUGAGGAUGAUGAAAACAGUUGUUACAUUAUCAUUUUUGUUCUCAAAUUAUCUUCACUAAACAUGCUAAAUAUGUACCAUGAAUUUUCAGCAAGUACAUCAAAACUUUUUUGUGUUAAAGUAGUGUACCUAUCCUGGACUUUCUGUAAUCUGUAUUGAGAAAUCAAUUGGAAAACACUUUUAUACAGUAUAUACAAAAUUUCUUUGGGGCAGUUAAAAAACAUCAUAUAAAGCCUAUAGAGGAAAUCACCAGGAAUUAAAAAUUUAGUUAUAAUUAAAUAAAUAUACAUUUUGCCUAGUUUUGAUUGGGGAUUUUUUUAUUCGCCAAGUUCUUUACGAAUCUGCUUCCCCAGUGUGUUUGUUUUUAUUUUGGUGCAACUGUUGCCUAGUUUGUUAUAUUUUGUUAUUUUGUGAGCAAAUGAAGAAAGUUGAGCAAUAAGUUUUGUUAUCUAGUCUUUUAAUUUCUAUACUGAUUUGUUUGUAAACUGUAUACACUAUGAUCUUCAAUAAAACAUUAAUAAGAACAGUUUAUUAAAUCAGCCACUACCAAAGAUGACAUGAGGCUUGAGGGCUUAUAUUAAAACAUUUAAGUUUAGGGUUAACUAAUUGCUAACCAACUGUAGUUGUUUGGUUUGAUAAAGACAGAUAAUUACCACAUAUUGAUUUGUACUGUUUAAUAUCAUAAUAGUUAACAUUAUUAAAGCUGUUACACAAAUUCAAAUGUAAAAUGUAAAAUAAAUAUUUUAUGUAUGGCUGUGUUCACUUGUGCCUAUAUUUUGUAAUUUCAAGAACUUUUGUUUUUGUUAUUGCCAUUGUUCUUGAUGUCUGUUUAAACAAUAAACAUCAGACUGAAUAUUUGAACAAUCAUUUGUUAUGUUAUUGAUUAGGAACAUAAUAUAUAAACAAAGGGGAAUACAAAGUGUAAACAAUGAAAUCGCAAGCCAAUGCAAA